This 350-nucleotide ribosomal RNA is filed under the name uncultured soil bacterium. RNAcentral's name for it is "bacterial SSU rRNA". It matches the Rfam family "Bacterial small subunit ribosomal RNA", at positions 27 to 372 of the family's 1533-position model. The record is from RNAcentral.
GGGAUGAACGCUGGCGGCGUGCUUAACACAUGCAAGUCGAACGAUGAAGGCUGGAGCUUGCUCUGGCUGGAUUAGUGGCGAACGGGUGAGUAACACGUGAGUAACCUGCCCCAGACUCUGGGAUAAGCGCUGGAAACGGCGUCUAAUACCGGAUACGAGCUUCCACCGCAUGGUGAGGAGCUGGAAAGAAUUUCGGUCUGGGAUGGACUCGCGGCCUAUCAGCUUGUUGGUGAGGUAAUGGCUCACCAAGGCGACGACGGGUAGCCGGCCUGAGAGGGUGACCGGCCACACUGGGACUGAGACACGGCCCAGACUCCUACGGGAGGCAGCAGUGGGGAAUAUUGCACAAU